This is an unclassified non-coding RNA of Callithrix jacchus (white-tufted-ear marmoset), 148 nucleotides long. It matches the Rfam family "Metazoan signal recognition particle RNA". Rfam says of the family: The signal recognition particle (SRP) is a universally conserved ribonucleoprotein. It is involved in the co-translational targeting of proteins to membranes. The record is from Ensembl. Lineage: Eukaryota; Metazoa; Chordata; Mammalia; Primates; Cebidae.
GCCGGGCAUGGUGGUGUGUGCCUGUAAUCUCAGCUACUCCAGAGGCUGAGGCAGGAGAAUUACUUGAAUUCAGGAGGUGGGGAUUGCAGUGAGCCGAGCUUGUGCCACUACACUCCACCCUGGAUGACAGAGUAAGAUUCUGUUUCAA